ACAUCGGUAGCACAGUGGUUAGUGCAGUCUGCCGGAAACAGAAAGACACAGGUUCAAUUCCCGUCCGAUGUC
This 72-nucleotide transfer RNA is filed under the name Nippostrongylus brasiliensis. It matches the Rfam family "tRNA". From Rfam's summary of the family: Transfer RNA (tRNA) molecules are approximately 80 nucleotides in length. Their secondary structure includes four short double-helical elements and three loops (D, anti-codon, and T loops). The record is from Rfam by way of RNAcentral. Lineage: Eukaryota; Metazoa; Nematoda; Chromadorea; Rhabditida; Heligmosomidae.